CCUACGGGAGACAGCAGUGGGGAAUAUUGGACAAUGGGCGAAACCCUGAUGCAGCGACGCCGCGUGAGUGAAGAAGUUAUUCGUUAUGUAAAGCUCUAUCAGCAGGGGAGAAAAUGACGGUACCUGAGUAAGAAGCCGCGGCUAACUACGUGCCAGCAGCCGCGGUAAUACGUAGGGGGCAAGCGUUAUCCGGAUUUACUGGGUGUAAUGGGAGCGUAGUCGGCAGUGCAAGUCUGGAGUGAAAGGCGGGGGGUCAACCCCCGGACUGCUGUGGAAACUGUACGGCUGGAGUGCAGGAGAGGUAAGUGGAAUUCCUAGUGUAGCGGUGAAAUGCAUAGAUAUCAGGCGGAACACCAGUGGCGAAGGCGGCUUACUGGACUGUAACUGACGCUGAGGCUCGAAAGCGUGGGGAGCGAACAGGAUUAGAUACCCGAGUAGUC
This 440-nucleotide ribosomal RNA is filed under the name uncultured bacterium. RNAcentral's name for it is "partial 16S ribosomal RNA". It matches the Rfam family "Bacterial small subunit ribosomal RNA", at positions 338 to 795 of the family's 1533-position model. The record is from RNAcentral.